UACGAAGGGGGCUAGCGUUGCUCGGAAUUACUGGGCGUAAAGCGCACGUAGGCGGUCUUUUAAGUCGGGGGUGGAAUCCUGGAGCUCAACUCCAGAACUGCCUUCGAUACUGGAAGACUCGAGUCCGGGAGAGGUGAGUGGAACUGCGAGUGUAGAGGUGAAAUUCGUAGAUAUUCGCAAGAACACCAGUGGCGAAGGCGGCUCACUGGCCCGGUACUGACGCUGAGGUGCGAAAGCGUGGGGAGCAAACAGG
Molecule: ribosomal RNA, 253 nt
Filed under: uncultured bacterium
Lineage: Bacteria
Description: partial 16S ribosomal RNA
Rfam family: Bacterial small subunit ribosomal RNA
Source: RNAcentral